RNAcentral lists this ribosomal RNA (460 nucleotides) under uncultured bacterium. Its description in RNAcentral is "partial 16S ribosomal RNA". It matches the Rfam family "Bacterial small subunit ribosomal RNA", at positions 338 to 795 of the family's 1533-position model. The record is from RNAcentral.
CCUACGGGUGGCAGCAGUGAGGAAUAUUGGUCAAUGGGCGCAAGCCUGAACCAGCCAAGUAGCGUGAGGGAAGACGGCCCUAUGGAUUGUAAACCUCUUUUGUGCGGGAGCAAAGGUCUCCACGUGUGGAUGUUUGCACGUACCCCAUGAAUAAGGACCGGCUAAUUCCGUGCCAGCAGCCGCGGUAAUCCGGAAGGUCCGGGCGUUAUCCGGAUUUAUUGGGUUUAAAGGGUGCGUAGGCCGGUCGUUAAGCGUGGCGGGAAAUUUGGGGGCCCAACCAUGUCACUGCGGUGGAAACUGGUGACCUUGAGUGAGCGGGAGGCAGGCGGAAUGCGUGGUGUAGCGGUGAAAUGCUUAGAUAUCACGAAGAACGCCGAUUGCGAAGGCAGCAUACCGGAGCGUAACUGACGCUGAAGCUCGAAAGCGUGGGUAUCGAACAGGAUUAGAUACCCCUGUAGUC